This 401-nucleotide ribosomal RNA is filed under the name uncultured bacterium. RNAcentral describes it as "bacterial SSU rRNA". It matches the Rfam family "Bacterial small subunit ribosomal RNA", at positions 361 to 776 of the family's 1533-position model. The record is from RNAcentral.
AUAUUGGACAAUGGGGGAAACCCUGAUCCAGCGACGCCGCGUGAGUGAAGAAGUAUUUCGGUAUGUAAAGCUCUGUCAGCAGGGAAGAAAGAAAUGACGGUACCUGACCAAGAAGCCCCGGCUAACUACGUGCCAGCAGCCGCGGUAAUACGUAGGGGGCAAGCGAUAUCCGGAUUUACUGGGUGUAAAGGGAGCGUAGACGGCUAAGCAAGUCUGAAGUGAAAGCCCGGGGCUUAACCCCGGGACUGCUUUGGAAACUGUUAAGCUAGAGUGCUGGAGAGGUAAGUGGAAUUCCUAGUGUAGCGGUGAAAUGCGUAGAUAUUAGGAGGAACACCAGUGGCGAAGGCGGCUUACUGGACAGUAACUGACGUUGAGGCUCGAAAGCGUGGGGAGCAAACAGG